AUUUACCAGCCGUGUAUUGCUGUUUCACCAACAUAUUCUGUCAGAGCGAUGGAGUAAAAGGCUUAGUGAUUCAGUUCAGCCAAAGGCUACAGAGACUUUCUGCAGUGUCGCGUGAGUUUAACAUCAAAAUGUAUAUUCCAGUAGAUACCACGGUACCGGCACAAAAUUACCAUUUUGGAAGAACUUUGUUUGUGGCUUGCCCUAUUAAAAGACAUUCCCAUUCCAAAACCAGUGCUAUCAGUUUUUGUUUCAUCGCUGACGAUCUUCAACUUUUACUAGAAACCGAAAUUGCUUGAUCAGCUGCUAAAUUGUGCUAAAGUUUGCGUAUAUAUAUAGACGGAUAAAGAUGGCACUAUAUGUAUAACCUGAACAAUCGUAGCAAGUUUUACUAAAGAAAAAAGUUUUAACUUAUUAACAUUGUACUAUUAAAACUGUAUGACAUGGAUUCUGUUGCAUAUAUGGCAACACCAUUUGCCUGCUGCAGAAAUAGAAAAGUUUCCAUGGAGCUGUCAAACAGUGAUGUGCACGUGUGGACUAUUUAAACAACUAAAACGUGUACAGUGAACACACACCCGAAUGAACUCCGAACGACAUUAAUCUCGCUUACGCGGCGAAUUCAGAGAACACAUGCGAUUUUGUGCUGCAACAUAACUAAAAUCAACCCACGGACGUACGAAUGGUUAUGGAAAAUUGACAUACUUAGUUAAACUAUGAUGAGGGAAUAUCUGUGCAGUACUGCAAGUAUGUAUGCGUAUAGCAUAACUGAGUUAACAGCUUCACCCGAGGAAAACAAGACGUUCAUUUGCAUGUACAUUGGAAAGGACAAAAUAAAAUGAAAUUAUGUAUGGACUGUAUGUUUGUGCAUGUAGUGAAGCACGGUAAUGAUAUACUAGACUAGCUACAAGUCGACUCGUAUUAUACAGCUGCAAGGUUGUGCUCGAAUCUCUUAAAAUGCGGAUUUUAGCGCUUGCUCCCUUGCUGGGUUCGGGCGCUCAAGCUCGACCAUUCGUUUAUUCACUUACUCGUUUUCACUUGUUUCACUCCUUUCAACUGAUGUGAGACAAAUUCCAAUUCUUUACGAUGGGAGUCGACUUGUAACAACACUGUAAUAAAAAAGCAACAAAUUCGUUAUCUCAAAUGACUAAUUUGUUGGUUGUUUUAACAAAUUUGCUUUAACAGUGAUGUUUAAUGAUAUGCAUGAAACAUAAAAAAUUUUCCAGUUUUAAGUCAUUUUAGGGCCUGUUUAUAUGUGCAAAAGUUAUCCCGGUUAGCGAGAAAACGUUUCGACAAGUUUACAAGCGAGAUCUCGCCUUGGUAUGAAAAUAAUAUGAAAAGUUACACUGCGUUCAUAUGAGACGAAAAGUUUUCCCGUGUACCGAGAUCUCGCUUGUUGACAGGCAAGAUCUCGGUGACCGGGAUAAUGUUUUUCCCUUAUAACACAACUUUCCCGCUUAGCGGGAUAACUUUCUGUCGUGUCAGCAACUUUUCAAUUCAGUUGAUGUUCAGUGCUAUGUCACAGCCGGAAACUUUACCCGGUAAGCGGUAUGACGUUUCUCUAUAUGAACAGAACAAAAGUAUUUGGCUAGUCGAAACGUUUUCUCGUUGACCGGAUAACUUUUCCCCAUAUGAGCAGGCCCUUAGGGGAAGAUAAUUUUAUUGCAGCCAAAUAAAUGUUUCAGAUGCUUGGUC
RNAcentral lists this long non-coding RNA (1689 nucleotides) under Paramuricea clavata. The record is from RNAcentral. Lineage: Eukaryota; Metazoa; Cnidaria; Anthozoa; Malacalcyonacea; Plexauridae.